Molecule: ribosomal RNA, 253 nt
Filed under: uncultured bacterium
Lineage: Bacteria
Description: partial 16S ribosomal RNA
Rfam family: Bacterial small subunit ribosomal RNA
Source: RNAcentral
UACGUAGGGUGCAAGCGUUGUCCGGAAUUAUUGGGCGUAAAGAGCGUGUAGGCGGCCCGAUUAGUCCGCUGUGAAAGUCCAGGGCUCAACCCUGGAAUGCCGGUGGAUACUGUCGGGCUAGAGUCCGGAAGGGGCGAGUGGAAUUCCUGGUGUAGCGGUGAAAUGCGCAGAUAUCAGGAAGAACACCCGUGGCGAAGGCGGCUCUCUGGGACGGUACUGACGCUGAGACGCGAAAGCGUGGGGAGCGAACAGG